GCCUAACACAUGCAAGUCGAGCGGCAGCGCGAUAUGUAGCAAUACAUAUUGGCGGCGAGCGGCGGACGGGUGAGGAACACGUAGGAACCUACCCUCGAGUGGGGGAUAACCAAGGGAAACUUUGGCUAAUACCGCAUGAUUUCGAGAGAGCAAAGCUGCCGCAAGGUGGCGCUCGAGGAGGGGCCUGCGUCCGAUUAGCUAGUUGGUGAGGUAAGAGCUCACCAAGGCGAUGAUCGGUAACUGGUCUGAGAGGACGACCAGUCACACUGGGACAGCGACAGGGACCAGACUCCUACGGGAGGCAGCAGUGGGGAAUAUUGGACAAUGGGGGCAACCCUGAUUCAGCGAUGCCGCGUGAGUGAAGAAGGCCUUCGGGUCGUAAAGCUCUUUAGGUUGGGAAGAAGAGUGAUGGAGGAAAUGCUAUCACUUUGACGGUACCGACAGAAUAAGCACCGGCAAACUCUGUGCCAGCAGCCGCGGUAA
Molecule: ribosomal RNA, 483 nt
Filed under: uncultured bacterium
Lineage: Bacteria
Description: partial 16S ribosomal RNA
Rfam family: Bacterial small subunit ribosomal RNA
Source: RNAcentral